UACAGAGGUCUCAAGCGUUGUUCGGAUUCAUUGGGCUUAAAGGGUGCGUGGGUGGCGGGGUAAGUCGGGUGUGAAAUUUCGGAGCUCAACUCCGAAACUGCAUUUGAUACUGCCUUGCUUGAGGACUGGAGAGGAGACUGGAAUUCACGGUGUAGCAGUGAAAUGCGUAGAGAUCGUGAGGAAGACCAGUGGCGAAGGCGGGUCUCUGGACAGUUCCUGACACUGAGGCACGAAGGCCAGGGGAGCAAACGGG
This 253-nucleotide ribosomal RNA is filed under the name uncultured bacterium. Its description in RNAcentral is "partial 16S ribosomal RNA". It matches the Rfam family "Bacterial small subunit ribosomal RNA", at positions 524 to 776 of the family's 1533-position model. The record is from RNAcentral.